UUCAACCGUAGAAGAAGAAGAAGAAGAACGAGCGGUCAUAGAAAAGAAAUACAUACAGCAGUGCUACGUGAUAUAAUUGUUUGUGACUGCUGUGGGAUCCUGGGAAAAAACAAAGGGAAUUUCAAUAAACGACCUGUUACACACCACCCCCCAGUUGGAAAAUCUGGACUGGUUACUGAUGAGGGAGGGGUUAUCAGGGUUUCGGCCUCCCAGAAGAGCAUCUGUGCACACGUCACAAUCACUCUGCCCUGUGGCAAAGUUCCAGUAAGGGACUGCAAAGUUCUCAUUGCCAGUGAGCCUCUGAGAAAAACACAUUGUAUGGAUGUUAGCAUGUUUGUUAAAAUGUUAUACAGAUAAUGGUACAGAUAAUUGUUCUAUCAUGGUAAAUCAGUUGAGGUAAACUUCCAUUAUACAUAUUAGAGUCUGAACCUCAGAUUGAAUGAAGAAUUGUGUAGUUUUCUUUUUACAACAACAAAAAAACGUACACACCUGCAUGUCUCGCUCAAAGCUCAGAAGGUGGUAUCUAUGCCAGGUGAUGAAUGCUGGUCCUUUGUGUGAGAAAUCGAUGGCUUUGAAGGGGCGGCCAGGACCUAUGGGGAAAUAUUUCUUAAAAUUGCCUCUCUGGAAUUGAGAAAAUGAAUUCUUUUUGUUAAAAUAGGUAGAGCUGAAAUGAAGUUGUGGCUUUUAAUAAGUACUCGCAGAUUAUUACCAAAAUGUGUAUUUCAUCAGAACUGUGUCACGCAUCAAUACUAUUUUAUCUUAAGAUAGUUUAGCCGUUCUAACAAGGUGACAGCCAAUGUGGAAAGAUGACAUUGUUUUAUAUUUUUAUCCUUAUACAUAAAUAAAUUAGAUUAAAAAAAAAAACAACUAUCAUUCCAUAUUACUCGAAUGUUUGGAAAUGCGACCAUUUACCAAGCAGAGUAUCUCGGACCGAGUAGUAAUGUUGCCAAACGAAGAAGUCGUAGAUGGAGAUGUUGGCAAACUGUGGCUCCGUUCCGUUUGGCCCUAGGACUCCCAGCCAGUGCUGGGUGGCGAUCAUGUAGUCUGGGUGUAUGGUUGUCUUUGCCAGUUGCAGAGCAUCCAGAAACUCCUGGAGCUCGGCAGAGGUCAACGAGUGGAUGUUCUUUCGUACAACAGGAGCUUUCCUCUGGUCGCAGUUUGGUCCGGUCCAGCCAAAUUUGCAUUGACCACAGUCAAAGCCUGCAAAGUUGCCUAAAACACACAAGAAGAAGGUUAACUGAGGAUUUAGGUCCAAUUUUGCGUUGUCAGUAGUAUAAUCACUCACCACUGCAUCUGCAAGUCUGGUUGAAAAAUUUGGUUGGCCAUCUUUCCCGGUCAUCAACGUUUCUUAGUCUGUAUGGUCCUCCCCAGGGUUUAGUGUCCACCCGAACAGCAGUGCAGUUUCCUCUCCCUGUCAGGGUGCCACAUAUGUUGGCAGGAUUGGAGCCUAGAGCAGGGCAGCACUGCUUGGACAGGAUCCCCACCACUGUGCAGCAGACCCGAGGGAAUUGAGCCCCAGCAGGCUGGAGGAACAAGCAAAGGAGGCCAAGAAGGAGCAAGCUCGUCAUUUUCCACCUGCUUCUUUAUUCCGACUCGCACCUCAACACAGGAUGGUGCCAAAGAGCUGUGGAGAAACAAGGUGUGACUGGUAUGGAAUUUCACACAAGAGGGUGCACAGGAGUGUCACAAUCCUCCCACGGUGGAUGGACCCACGAACCAUUUUGUUCAUGUCCGACUCCAACAGGUGCAAAGUGGAUACAAGGUUGUUUUUUUUCCCACGUCUCUGCCACAUUGCAGUGUCCCUUUUAUCCCUUGGCAAAAGUUUGGCGAGCGCUCACGGAGACCUUAAAUAAAGGUAUUCAUCCAUAUAGUACAUGUGAUAUAUGCACACGUUAUCACAUGUUCAAGUUUGUGCAUGCAUAAUCAAACUAUUGCAUCAAUAGUUAGUGUUUCUUUUUUUUUUAAUUCUGUCGUUGGGUCGAUCAUAACGCCGCGGCGUAGGCGGGAUAAGGUUCGAGUUGAGGCUUCCCCAUCCCGGGGAGCAGGAUAUAUGCGAGUGGUGGCUGGAGUCCAGUGGAGGGCCACGCUGUGCAGUUACAAGGGAUCAUGUAGCCCGGGUUCCCGGGGGAAGGGUGCGAGUGGGUGUGCGUCCCAGCACCGACGCCAGCACCGCCGGUACCCGUGAAAGCAGUUGCCCCGGCAGGUGGGUAACCCAGCGGGGACGCGUAAGGGAAGGAGUGCGGGGAAAGCUCUGUCAUCUUGGAGCCCAGGUCGAAAAAGGAGUAAGGGUUCGUGGACAUGGACGGGUUGAAGAAGACCCGGGCGGCCGCGGCGGCAGCUGCAGCAGCCGCCUUGUCCGGGUUGCCGAUCACACUCUCGGGCAGACCUCCCGCGGAGAGACCGCUGACUUUGAGCGCGUCGUGCUCCCCAAGGUUGUACGGCACCGGGAAGGAGAACUUGUCCUUUUUCAUCAGGGUCUUCGGCUUCCGCCUGGGCCGGUAUUUGUAGUCAGGGUGCUCCUUCAUGUGCAUGGCUCGCAGCCGCUUGGCUUCGUCGAUGAAGGGCCUCUUCUCGGACUCCGUAAGAAGUUUCCACUCGGCGCCUAACCUCUUGCUGAUCUCCGAGUUGUGCAUUUUGGGAUUCUCCUGAGCCAUUUUUCUCCUCUGGGCUCUGGACCACACCAUGAAGGCAUUCAUCGGACGCUUUACGUGAUCCAUUGGUUUCGACAUAGUUAGCACCAACUCUCUCUAGAAGAAUACACGCAUCCAUAAAUAAUAUGCACUUAUUCUAUAUGAAUUUACAAGCGACACGUCAUGCGUCAUCUACUUACUUGUAACUUCAGUUCUUCAUCACAGCCGUGAUUGUCUUCUGCCAAAAAAAAAAAACUCUUUAUGAAUGUUGUAUUAUCCUCUUCAUCCUAACAUCCACGACAAAACAAAUGUGUGGCUGUAAGAAAAACCACACUGUGUUGUUGUCCCCGGUGUACAGAGAGUGUCCUCCAGCAUCAGCAGCAGCGUGCACGCAAGUGGAUGAGAACUCUCCGUGGCCCCGUGUGAAAUACUGCAUGUGUGGCAGGUAGUGAAAGUGCGCGCUGGCGCAUGCGCAGUACGCCACCAUAGGGGACGUGGUCCCCCCCCCCCCCUCCCCUAAAUUCUCAUCCUGUGUUUAAAAGAGAAGCAAAACCACGUUUAGAUAUGGAAUACAGUCUUUGUCAUUGCAUUGUCUAACCAUUUCUGUUUAUUUCUAUUAUGUGCGCAUUUGGGUGCAUGCGUCCAUAUUGGUGGCAUUCUUGGAGUCAUCUUGCACGGCCUUACCUGCCCUUAGUUUAGUCCACGAUCCCCCCUCUCGCUCCCACACCUUUAGCGACUAUACAAGCAAACCAUAUUCUUUAAUAUCCUCACAUUUGGCUCCAAUAUUGAGCCACUGAGGAGGUUUGAAGUGUUUCUAAUCGCGCUUGGUUAAAAUUAAUUACUUUCCUCAAACCACCACCCGUCCUUUCUUUUUGUUUUUUUUUCUCACUUUCCUCUCCUUUCACUUCAAAAGACCCUCCCAAGGGCAGCCAGUCGACAACUGGAAGAUUCAGCUUCGCAAUUACACUUAUCAGCUCGGACUUGUUGAGUAAAUUGUUGGUUUAAGUGGUUUGUUCUCGCACCUUCUUCGCUUUACGUUAUUAUAUAUGGACAAAAAAUUAAGGAAAUGGCAGAGGGCUGGAAUAAUGAUUAUAAAAGACGAAUUAGGCUGCAGGUCCAGCGUUUAAAUAAAUAUGGAAUUCAAUUCAGAGCUCGUUUUUUUAAAAAUAGUGAAUGAUAUUGUUUGCACAGGCCAAUAAUAAUAUUGAUAAUUAUUAUAGCAAAAUUGUUGAUGGAGUUUUAAAUGAAAGUUGUCACGUGCCAAAAGGAAUAUUUUAAUUGCUGCUGUAAUAUUGUGCGUUGUAAUAUUUAUGUAAUCAAACAUUUAUGGUUGUAUAUUUUCUGUGGACUGAGUUUGCUGUGGUGUGGAUUAUAUCGGGUGUGCAGGUGAGAGACAAAAAAAAUGUUUGCAAUGAGUCGCGCUAUUUCCUCCACACGCGGGAGCGUUGCACGUGGCUCUCGUGGCAAAAAUAGAAAAGAAAAAAAAACGGCCAAAAUUGCAAUGAAUUAUUCUGAAUCAGUUACGGUGGGGCGUUCUUAUCAGGAGACGACUAUACUGUAUGUACUCGUCUCUGAGCCUGUAUUUUUUUCAUGAUUGUUAUUAUUAUUAUUACAAAUCUAUUGCAUUUAUUCGCAUUUCUCCCUGCAUCAUUUUUUAAUUGUAUUUCUUAAAAUAGCACAUUAUUUUUAUCCGUUUCCCUUA
Long non-coding RNA from Dunckerocampus dactyliophorus (ringed pipefish), 4332 nucleotides. RefSeq lists it as uncharacterized. The transcript is spliced from 5 exons. Lineage: Eukaryota; Metazoa; Chordata; Actinopteri; Syngnathiformes; Syngnathidae. The record is from RefSeq and is a predicted model, not a curated record.